UUAGUCGUCAUUUCCCUUCCCUCUCUCAAUUUAACCCUCACUUAAUUUAGAAAAGCAUGCAGAAAGAAGUUUGGUCAAAUAAGAACACUAUUGACAAUGAUUGAAGACAAAUACAAAGAUUGCAGAAGCUGAAAUACUACCACCUAAAAGAAAAAGGGAACAGAACAGGCUCCAAAACAAUAGAAGCAGACACUCAUUUUUUCUAAAGAUGGCUGCAUUUGAGAGUUCAAGAACCAGCUCAGUCUUGAUCAACAUCUCCUUCAAGGCAGCUGUGAAUAUAAGCUAGAGAGGGGAAUAUUUAAAGAUCAGACAUAAGUUCUAUAUGCCCAAAAGUUGUCAAAUAAUGUACAUCAUUGUCCUGAUAUGCAAGCAGUCUUAGUAGAAAAUGCAUGUACUACAGACUUCAGUGCCAAAGAAAUGGGAUGAGCAUUGAAAGUGAAAAAAAGCAUCAAACAGAAAGAAUUGUUGACAGAUUUAUUUAAUCAAGAGGGAAAUCUAGCUCUAAAUUGACCUAGAGAAAGUAUCAGAUCAGGUGUAUUUAGGAAAGAUGAAUUCUUAACUGCCCAGCAAAUAAAUGGUUUCUUUUCUCGAUUGACAAAACAACAGAGAAUACAGAUAAGCAUGACUGUAAAGUCUAAAAUUCUUAGGUCACAAUUGAAAACACAGAUUUUUGAGACAUUGAAUUGAAGAUUAAAUUUGAACACCAGUAAAAUGAAUAUUGAAUGUUAAAUUAAAGUUUAAUAUUAUAACAUUUGUCAUAGGUCUGAAAUCUCUAAACCUAUGAUCCUAACAAGAUAUGGCCAUACAAUAGGUUUUCUGAAACACAAUGCUUCAAGUUUUUAUGAAAUUUGUGAAAUGUUAUCAUGUAGAUAUUUAUUUUGAUAUUUUAUUUGUUACACAUUUGAACAUGUUGAAUGUAUGAACUUUUCAUUUGAAUUUUAUUUGGGUCAAUAUGUUCAAACUUGAUAAGUUGAUAUUUCUGUAACCAUAGCAGUUUAAACUCUUUUUUGAGAAUUGCUAAGUCUCUUGAAAGUUUUGUAAUACCUGUACAAUUUCUUUGGUAUACUUGUUGAUUUUAUGUUAUUUUGUAAAAUGCAGACAUGUUGCCUUUGGCAUAGU
Long non-coding RNA from Mytilus trossulus (common blue mussel), 1119 nucleotides. RefSeq lists it as uncharacterized. The record is from RefSeq and is a predicted model, not a curated record. Lineage: Eukaryota; Metazoa; Mollusca; Bivalvia; Mytilida; Mytilidae. The transcript has 3 exons.